AUCGGGGCUGAGGGUCCCUCAGCCUGGAUUGCAAGAGGGCGCAGGCCAGGCUGAGGGACCCCACCAGUGCACA
This 73-nucleotide microRNA precursor is filed under the name Myotis lucifugus (little brown bat). RNAcentral's name for it is "mir-9193 microRNA precursor family". It matches the Rfam family "mir-9193 microRNA precursor family". The record is from Rfam by way of RNAcentral. Lineage: Eukaryota; Metazoa; Chordata; Mammalia; Chiroptera; Vespertilionidae.